GGAUCUCUUCUUAGCUUGUGGGUUCUUCAGAAAAUUUACAUGUAUUUCAGAGGGCAUAAAGGAGACAAUUAAGGUUCCGUGAUCCAAAUUCAGAUUUUAGGUAUUGCUGUGCCUUGUUGUGGUUUCGGUAUAUUCUUAUCAUGUCAAUUCUUGUUGUGAUGAUUGUUUCAAGUUUAUACAAUUAGACUGCUUAGUGUAAUAUAGGAAUUAAUCUAUUCAACUUCAACAUGAAGAUUUGUUAUCGUUAAUUUUGUUAUUAUGUAAUAUUGCAUUGUAGCAAUAAAGUUUUUUUAAAGUUCUUGGAGGUUGGAGCUUCUGUUGAAUUGCAGUGUCAAGUAUCCAUUGCAAAAAUACGGAGUAGUUUUAAGCACCUAAGACCUGAAUUUCUACCUGCCUGCCAUCCAAGGCGUUGAUCAUAAUUUAUUAAGAUACAUGGUUUUUAAGCAGGCAGGAUCCUUGUGUUGUUUUCAAGGAACUGUGGAAUUAAAGGCCUUAAGUCAGAAAUUUCUAAUUUGAUCCAAUUAAAACUACUUGUAUCUUAUGGAUGUGAUUCAGAUUUAAUUUAGUAGUUAUAAAUAUUAUAUACUUUCUAUGGAUUAUUUAAUUUCAAUAAUAUAUGCAUUUUAAUUAUGUUGGUGAAAUUGGUUGGAUCUAGUCAUAUGUAAUGUCCAUAUAUUUGGUUUUCAUUCGACUGGAUUUUUAAAUGUUUUUAAACAGUCGGUUAAUGACAGUUAUUAAUAAAUAUCACCGUCAAAUGUUCAACAUAGAGAGGCAAAGCUUAUCAUUGUUUUGCAGUCAACCAUUAGCUGAUUCAUUAAUUCUGUAUUUCCUAUCUUAUUGCCUUAAUCUGUCUGAUUGUCUAAGAAAUUUGAAACUUGUCCUG
RNAcentral lists this unclassified non-coding RNA (883 nucleotides) under Hevea brasiliensis (rubber tree). Lineage: Eukaryota; Viridiplantae; Streptophyta; Magnoliopsida; Malpighiales; Euphorbiaceae. The record is from RNAcentral.